Molecule: ribosomal RNA, 900 nt
Filed under: uncultured bacterium
Lineage: Bacteria
Description: bacterial SSU rRNA
Rfam family: Bacterial small subunit ribosomal RNA
Source: RNAcentral
AGUGCUUGCACUAAAUGAAACUAGAUACAAGCGAGCGGCGGACGGGUGAGUAACACGUGGGUAACCUGCCCAAGAGACUGGGAUAACACCUGGAAACAGAUGCUAAUACCGGAUAACAACACUAGACGCAUGUCUAGAGUUUGAAAGAUGGUUCUGCUAUCACUCUUGGAUGGACCUGCGGUGCAUUAGCUAGUUGGUAAGGUAACGGCUUACCAAGGCAAUGAUGCAUAGCCGAGUUGAGAGACUGAUCGGCCACAUUGGGACUGAGACACGGCCCAAACUCCUACGGGAGGCAGCAGUAGGGAAUCUUCCACAAUGGACGAAAGUCUGAUGGAGCAACGCCGCGUGAGUGAAGAAGGGUUUCGGCUCGUAAAGCUCUGUUGGUAGUGAAGAAAGAUAGAGGUAGUAACUGGCCUUUAUUUGACGGUAAUUACUUAGAAAGUCACGGCUAACUACGUGCCAGCAGCCGCGGUAAUACGUAGGUGGCAAGCGUUGUCCGGAUUUAUUGGGCGUAAAGCGAGUGCAGGCGGUUCAAUAAGUCUGACGUGAAAGCCUUCGGCUCAACCGGAGAAUUGCAUCAGAAACUGUUGAACUUGAGUGCAGAAGAGGAGAGUGGAACUCCAUGUGUAGCGGUGGAAUGCGUAGAUAUAUGGAAGAACACCAGUGGCGAAGGCGGCUCUCUGGUCUGCAACUGACGCUGAGGCUCGAAAGCAUGGGUAGCGAACAGGAUUAGAUACCCUGGUAGUCCAUGCCGUAAACGAUGAGUGCUAAGUGUUGGGAGGUUUCCGCCUCUCAGUGCUGCAGCUAACGCAUUAAGCACUCCGCCUGGGGAGUACGACCGCAAGGUUGAAACUCAAAGGAAUUGACGGGGGCCCGCACCAAGCGGUGGAAGCAUGUGGU